GAUGAACGCUGGCGGCGUGCCUAAUACAUGCAAGUCGAGCGAACAGACGAGGAGCUUGCUCCUCUGACGUUAGCGGCGGACGGGUGAGUAACACGUGGAUAACCUACCUAUAAGACUGGGAUAACUUCGGGAAACCGGAGCUAAUACCGGAUAAUAUAUUGAACCGCAUGGUUCAAUAGUGAAAGACGGUUUUGCUGUCACUUAUAGAUGGAUCCGCGCCGCAUUAGCUAGUUGGUAAGGUAACGGCUUACCAAGGCAACGAUGCGUAGCCGACCUGAGAGGGUGACGCCCAACAUGGGACGAGAGACCGGGCCCGCAACCUGGGGGGGGGAGACGGAAGGGAAUCUUCCGGGAGGGAGAAAGGCCGAAGAGGGCAAAGCGGGGGAAAGAAUGAGGGUGUAAGGACGUAAAAAUUCUGUAAUAAGGAAAGAAAAAAAGUGAAUUUAACCGUGACGUUCUUGACGGUACCUAAAAAAAAAGCCACGGCUAACUCCGUG
RNAcentral lists this ribosomal RNA (497 nucleotides) under uncultured bacterium. RNAcentral describes it as "partial 16S ribosomal RNA". It matches the Rfam family "Bacterial small subunit ribosomal RNA", at positions 28 to 507 of the family's 1533-position model. The record is from RNAcentral.